GUAGUCUCGCACAGAUGCAUAUCAAUAAGCGGAGGAAAAGAAACUAACAAGGAUUCCCCUAGUAACGGCGAGUGAAGCGGGAAGAGCUCAAAUUUGAAAUCUUAAAGGGUUUCCCUUUACGAAUUGUAGUUUAAAGAAGUGUUUUCUGUUGAGGUUUUGGUAAAAGUUCUUUGGAGUAGGACAUCAUAGAGGGUGAGAAUCCCGUAUUUGACCUUUACUUUCAACUUUGUGAUACACUUUCAAAGAGUCGGAUUGUUUGGGAAUGCAGUCCAAAAUGGGUGGUAAAUUUCAUCUAAAGCUAAAUAUUGGCGAGAGACCGAUAGCGAACAAGUACCGUGAGGGAAAGAUGAAAAGAACUUUGAAAAGAGAGUUAAACAGUACGUGAAAUUGUCAAAAGGGAAGCGUUUGACACCAGUGUUGUUUUUCUGAAAAUCAAUUAAAGAACUGUUUAUGCUAAGUUGUUUAGACUUUAUCAGCUAACUGUUUAGUUUUGAGCUUUUCUUUAAUGCACUUUUCAGUUAACAAGUCAACAUCAAUUUCUUUUGCUGUAAAAAAGCUUGAGGAAGGUGGCUUGAGAUUCGUCUUAAGUGUUUAUAGCCUCUUGCCUAUGCAGUCGGAGAGAUUGAGGUCUGCAGCGUAGAUCCUUCGGGGCUAAAUGCAUUUGUGCUAAGUUAUAGCAUUUUAUAGACAACUUGUUGACUAUGAUUUGUCUUGUAGCUUACUCGCUUAUGUUAUUUUACCUACGCUUAGGAUGUUGAACUACUGAGACAUAGA
RNAcentral lists this ribosomal RNA (774 nucleotides) under uncultured Neocallimastigales. RNAcentral's name for it is "partial large subunit ribosomal RNA". It matches the Rfam family "Eukaryotic large subunit ribosomal RNA", at positions 24 to 644 of the family's 3401-position model. Lineage: Eukaryota; Fungi; Neocallimastigomycota; Neocallimastigomycetes; Neocallimastigales. The record is from RNAcentral.